RNAcentral lists this long non-coding RNA (2019 nucleotides) under Homo sapiens (human). RNAcentral's name for it is "lncAB345.1". The record is from RNAcentral. Lineage: Eukaryota; Metazoa; Chordata; Mammalia; Primates; Hominidae.
CCAAUCGCCUCCCACGUCUACCCCGCUGGGGCAGCCCCUACACCCUGCCAGGCACCCCAUUUCUCUCCUCCAGGUCUGGGGGACUGGACAACAUUGGGGAUUAGCUGGGGUCAACUCUGCUUCCCCCGCCACCCCCGGCCCCGGGCGCGCGCUCACCCGGCGGCCGCGUUCUCGAACUUGAGCGCGAGCGUCUCCUCGAUGAUGCGGUUGUUCACCUCCAGCAGGAUCAUGGCGGCGGCUGCCCCCAGGGGAAGGAGAAACAAGGGCCGGUGAGGGUGGGUAAGGGAGGCAAGGACGGAGGGAGCGGCCCUGCUGCCCCCUGAGUGGGGCUGGGUGGGGUAGGAGGUUAGGGGAGAAGGGGAGAGGGGCCGGGGUGGAGGGAAGGGUAAGACGAACGCGCUGGCCCACGCACGCAGACUGUGGAGACACCCACCCACCCAACCGACCUGGCCCCCGAAGCCUGAACCCGCCUGCCGAGCCGCCGCCGCCGCCGCCACUGCCGCUUCACCGACAAGCCCGGUCCCCGCCCAGCCCCCGGCUCUAGCCGGCCACUUCCGCUCUCACACCCACUUCCGCUCGCCGCCUGGACGCGCGGCCCCGCGGCGCCAUUUCCGCUUCAACCACUCGUGAACGCGAGCGCAGGCGCGCCGGAGGAAACGGAGGCUGCGCUUGCGUAUGUGUGAUGCCGCCGCCCCACCGUCUACUUUCCCACCGACCCCGCUUACGUCUACCGCCUACCAGUGCGUCCCCCGCGGAGCUGUCAUUCCCCGAGGCUUGCCUGACUGUUCAGCUUCUCUCUCCCGCUUGUCCCAGAGAUCCAACUCCAUUCUUCCGGUCUUGUCAUUUCAGAAACCUCGCAAGAAGCUCGCCCUUGUCGUCUCCCAGCGGGCUUCUUAGCUCCCAGCUUGUUUGAUGGGGGUGCCUCUUUUUCUUUCCAGGUAUAGCUGUCCAGCGACACCAUCAUGCAUUCAUUUCUCCAACAAACAUUUUCAUGGGCUCUUGCUCUAUACUGGGGAUGUAGUGGUAAAUGAAAUGGACGAGGCCCUGCCCUCGUGGAACUUACAGUCUGGCAAAGGAAACAGACAAUAAAAUUCUCAGUUGUCUAAGGAGGCAGAGAUGCAUGGGGAGAGGAUCAGAGUAGGGAUGCGGAAGCAGCGAGUGGUCAGGAGUGUGCGUGCCAAAAGGCAGGAGACCUGUGGGACGUGGGGGCAGCUGGGGCCGGAACUUGCGCUGGAGGAACACCCCUUGCCUGCUGGGGCGAGAAGAGGACCCUUUCCUUGGGUGAAAUUCCCCAUAUUGUUAAAAGGACAAUUAAAGAAAUGAAAGAGAGGUCACCUGGGUGAAUAGGCAACUUAGAUGGGCCUCCCUGUGUUCCUGUCAUGCCUCCAAUUCUGCGUCCAGGUGUCCGGAACACAUUUUUUUCUGCCUUUGAAACCUUCCAGUACCUCUGGCAGAGAUAUACCAUACCCUCCUUGUUACCUGCGUGCGGAAUCUUAACUCAUCGUUGUGCUACAUCUGCACCUUCUGCCUUUGUGCCUUGUUUUGUGUUUUCCCUCCUCCGGGGAGAAUAUAAUAAACUUAGCUGAGUCCGUUCUACAUACAAGGAAAUAAUUUAUUUUCUGCUAUGUGUUUGGGGAUGGGGAUAAAAAAAUGAACAAGAAACUAGCUCCUAUCAUUAAGGCACAGAUAGCCCUUUGAAACAUUACUUAACGGGCUAUGGAUAAGCUUCAGGAUAUUGCUGAUCCCCUAAAAUUAUACGCUAACUUAAAUUUUUUUUUUUUUGAGACAGAGUCUUGCACUCUUGCCCAGGCUGGAGUGCAAUGGCAUGAUCUCGGCUCACUGCAACCUCUGCCUCCCCGGUUCAAGCGAUUCUCCUGCCUCAGCCUCCCAAAUAGCUGGGAUUAAAGGUGCCUGCCACCAUGCCCUUUUAAUGUUUUGUAUUUUUAGUAGAGACGGGGUUUCACUAUGUUGGUCAGGCUGGUCUCGAACUCCUGACAUCAUGAUCCUCCUGCCUCGACC